Molecule: long non-coding RNA, 2430 nt
Filed under: Octopus vulgaris (common octopus)
Lineage: Eukaryota; Metazoa; Mollusca; Cephalopoda; Octopoda; Octopodidae
Source: RNAcentral
CUGAAAGUCGGUCGCACCCAGAGAAAUCUCCUAAGCAAAAUAACUAAACGUCGUUAGAAAAAAAAUUAUUACGCAGCUACCAAGGGAACUAGUACUAGAGCAGGUACACGAAUGUUCAUGUCAAAGAAUUAAGUUGUUAAAGCCUUCGAAACUCAAAAUCUAACAACUCGAUCAAUUCUUUCUUUGCCAGUCCUUCAUUAAAAAGGCACAAUCAUUGUUUACAUCUGAGAACGGUAAGUUGCCAGAUUUGUUUUAAAGCUUUAAAGCUUUUAUAAUGGCGUAAAUGAUAGAAUUAUGCAUUUCUCCUCCCCUCAUUCACGGAUACAAUAUUUUUAUCAUUUGAUAUUCUGACUUCUAAUGUUUCUGAACUCAUAUAUUGAUUGUAUUUUUGAAAACUCACGCUUGACUAUUAAAUGCAAUAUUAAAUAAAUCUCAGAUUGAGUGAGUGAAAAAUCGGUAAUAAAUCCGCAUCAACUUCACAUUAUUCUUUUACCGUAUUGUCUGAGAUGAUUAAAUAGCUGUAAAGAUUAACCUCCAAGAAAAAUCAACAUAUUUAUUUUAAUCCACUCUCUAAAUUAAGAUAUCUAAUUGCAUAGAAAUCCAAUGCCAAGAUAGUUUCUGUGAACGAACGUCUUGUCUUUCGCGCUCUUGUAUAUUUCUACCUGGAUAUUCUUAAAACGGACCAGGUGUUACUCACAACAGCGUUUCUCGCACCAUAAUACAGCUAUUUAACAUUUCGCAUGCAUGAUUACGAGGAAGUUUUAGCUUUACAAAAGGAACGGUCGAUGAAGGAACUUAUAAAAAUAACUGGUACUUCUUCGCGGCAAGACAUCCUUUUGUACCUCCCACAAAACACCCCUUAAAAAAAUGUUUUUCGUACACAAACCCCACCGUUUUCGGCCACGGAGAAUACGAAUUUGCAAAAGAAAAUUGGCAAAAAUCGGCAUUUUAAAUCCCCCACCCCACCCCUAAAUUCUUCAUUUUAAACUUUUUUCAGAAUUUUUUUUAUUUUUCAAAAUAUGCAGAAAAAUACGGAGAUUAUAGAAUUUCUAAAAAAAUUUCUGGUUAGGGUUUUAGGGUUAGGUUUAUGGAAAAAAAUGGGAAAGGAAGAAUGGGCUGCGGAGGGGGGCAAAAAAUUUCAAAAGUCUGAUUUUUGGCAAUUUUCUGGAAUCUCCUUAUCCGAAAACGUGGGUUUUUUGCAAAAUAAAUAAAUAAAUGAAAAUAAUAACAUGCAAACAUUACUUCACUCUGAUGAUGGCACUAUGAAAGUCUCGAAAUAUUGAAGGACUUGAGAAGUUUACUGUUACUCUUUUACUUGUUUCAGUCAUUUGACUGUGGCCAUGCUGGAGCACCACCUUUAGUCGACCAAAUCGACCCCAGGACUUAUUCUUUGUAAGCCUAGUACUUAUUCUAUCGGUCUCUUUUGCCGAACCACUAAGUUACAGGGACGUAAACACACUAGCAUCGGUUGUCAAGCGAUGUUGGGGGGACAAACACAGACACACAAACAUAUACACACAUGCAUAUAUAUAUAUAAACAUAUAUACGAUGGGCUUCUUUCAGUUUCCGUCUACCAAAUCCACUCACAAGGCUUUGGUCGGCCCGAGGCUAUAGUAGAAGACACUUGCCCAAGGUGCCAUGCAGUGGGACUGAACCCGGAACCAUAUGGUUUGUAAGCAAGCUACUUACCACACAGCCACUCCUACUGUUGAUAAAAAUCCCUCAAGGGUAUACAGAAAUGUGAAAUAUCAUUGAUAAAAGAGAUAAAAUUAGAACAGUUAUAUAUUCAAUACAUUAUAUACACAUAUAUCAUCAUUAUCAGUUAACAUCGUUUUCACGCUGACAAUGGUUGAACACUUUGACAGGAUUCAAUGUGACUGAAACAUUGAAAAAUACCUUAGGAAUUAGAACCCAGGUUCCAAAUUUCCCCAUUUCUGAGAGAGAAUAGUUUUAGCUUCUACUGUUUUGUUAUUUAGCCUAUAAUUUUUACACUAUCUGAAUAAGAUUGUAAUAAUGAAUUUUAAUACAAAUUAAAUAAUAUUUGCUUAUUCAGAUAAGUUUUAACCUAAGGUUUAUCAAUAUAGAAAUACAAUAAAGAUUUUAUUGCUUCUCUACUUUUUAAGCAUCCUUUAAAUGUUAUACAUUUUCUCUUUUAUUUCAGAUUAUCAGAAGACAUUUGCAGUAAAGAACUGUUUUAAUUCAGAUACUUCAACAAUAUUUAUCAUCUUUUAAAGACUAAGGAAACUUUUAUAAAGAACGGAUAUAACUUUAUUCAUAUAAAUCUAUGGUAGAAUUACUGUGAAAUAUUUUCAGAAAAGCUAAUAGCAAAAUUUCAGUAUUUCAUUGUCUGAAAUGUGUACAAGCUGAUUUUGCUUUCUAAUUAAUCUUGAACAAAUUUGCAAAAGAGUUUGCAACCUCUUCAGAUAUUAG